GGGAAGAGCCCAAACCAACAAGCUUGCUUGUUGGGGUUGUAGGACACUCUAUACGGAGUUACAAAGGACGACAUUAGACGAAUCAUCUGGAAAGAUGAAUCAAAGAAGGUAAUAAUCCUGUAGUCGAAAAUGUUGUCUCUCUUGAGUGGAUCCUGAGUACGACGGAGCACGUGAAAUUCCGUCGGAAUCUGGGAGGACCAUCUCCUAAGGCUAAAUACUCUCUAGUGACCGAUAGUGAACCAGUACCGUGAGGGAAAGGUGAAAAGCACCCCGGAAGGGGAGUGAAAUAGAACCUGAAACCGUGUGCUUACAAGUAGUCAGAGCCCGUUAAUGGGUGAUGGCGUGCCUUUUGUAGAAUGAACCGGCGAGUUACGAUUUGAUGCAAGGUUAAGCAGUAAAUGUGGAGCCGUAGCGAAAGCGAGUCUGAAUAGGGCGUUUAGUAUUUGGUCGUAGACCCGAAACCAGGUGAUCUACCCUUGGUCAGGUUGAAGUUCAGGUAACACUGAAUGGAGGACCGAACCGACUUACGUUGAAAAGUGAGCGGAUGAACUGAGGGUAGCGGAGAAAUUCCAAUCGAACCUGGAGAUAGCUGGUUCUCUCCGAAAUAGCUUUAGGGCUAGCCUCAAGUGAUGAUUAUUGGAGGUAGAGCACUGUUUGGACGAGGGGCCCCUCUCGGGUUACCGAAUUCAGACAAACUCCGAAUGCCAAUUAAUUUAACUUGGGAGUCAGAACAUGGGUGAUAAGGUCCGUGUUCGAAAGGGAAACAGCCCAGACCACCAGCUAAGGUCCCAAAAUAUAUGUUAAGUGGAAAAGGAUGUGGCGUUGCCCAGACAACUAGGAUGUUGGCUUAGAAGCAGCCAUCAUUUAAAGAGUGCGUAAUAGCUCACUAGUCGAGUGACACUGCGCCGAAAAUGUACCGGGGCUAAACAUAUUACCGAAGCUGUGGAUUGUCCUUUGGACAAUGGUAGGAGAGCGUUCUAAGGGCGUUGAAGCAUGAUCGUAAGGACAUGUGGAGCGCUUAGAAGUGAGAAUGCCGGUGUGAG
This 1043-nucleotide ribosomal RNA is filed under the name Staphylococcus aureus. Its description in RNAcentral is "partial 23S ribosomal RNA". It matches the Rfam family "Bacterial large subunit ribosomal RNA", at positions 260 to 1306 of the family's 2925-position model. Lineage: Bacteria; Bacillati; Bacillota; Bacilli; Caryophanales; Staphylococcaceae. The record is from RNAcentral.